UGGGGAAUAUUGGACAAUGGGCGCAAGCCUGAUCCAGCCAUGCCGCGUGAGUGACGAAGGUCUUCGGAUUGUAAAGCUCUUUUACCAGGGACGAUAAUGACGGUACCUGGAGAAUAAGCACCGGCUAACUCUGUGCCAGCAGCCGCGGUAAUACAGAGGGUGCGAGCGUUGUCCGGAAUCACUGGGCGUAAAGGGCGCGUAGGCGGCCCGGUAAGUAGGGGGUGAAAUCUCAUGGCUCAACUGUGAGGCUGCCUUCUAGACUGCCAGGCUUGAGCACAGUAGAGGCGAGUGGAAUUCCCGGUGUAGCGGUGGAAUGCGUAGAGAUCAGGAAGAACAUCGGUGGCGAAGGCGGCUCGCUGGGCUGUUGCUGACGCUGAGGUGCGAAAGCGUGGGGAGCAAACAGGAUUAGAUACCCGUGUAGUCCCUGAGCGGGCUGGCAAGGCGCAU
This 447-nucleotide ribosomal RNA is filed under the name uncultured bacterium. RNAcentral's name for it is "bacterial SSU rRNA". It matches the Rfam family "Bacterial small subunit ribosomal RNA", at positions 355 to 825 of the family's 1533-position model. The record is from RNAcentral.